This 65-nucleotide transfer RNA is filed under the name Dipodomys ordii (Ord's kangaroo rat). It matches the Rfam family "tRNA". Rfam says of the family: Transfer RNA (tRNA) molecules are approximately 80 nucleotides in length. The record is from Rfam by way of RNAcentral. Lineage: Eukaryota; Metazoa; Chordata; Mammalia; Rodentia; Heteromyidae.
GGUGGCUCAGUGGGAGAGCGCUUGUCUUGCAUGCAUGAGGCCCUGGGUUCGAUUCCUCAGCACCA